Long non-coding RNA from Ailuropoda melanoleuca (giant panda), 335 nucleotides. RefSeq lists it as uncharacterized. Lineage: Eukaryota; Metazoa; Chordata; Mammalia; Carnivora; Ursidae. The transcript has 3 exons. The record is from RefSeq and is a predicted model, not a curated record.
GGGAGGCGGAGAGGGGAGGCAGCCCACCUGGACAUGUGCUCUCUUUGGGGCCGGUGCGCUUUCUCCAGCCCCAGCUUGGUGAAGAUGCCUACAAGCACCAUGACGGCCACCACCCCGCAGAUGAUGUAAACGAUCAGGUGCACCGGGCCCCCUCACCCUUCCCCGACUGAGCCCUCCAGCCAGGCGCGCCUCCAGAUGGUUCAACUCCCUGGGACGAGCCGAGGACCAAGGCAGAGCUGGGAAGGCGGGGUAGCAAGACACUGGGCCCGGGAUAAAGGAUCCUUUACGGAAGAAGUGAAGUGGGUCUGAAGUAUGGUUUCCCCAAACUGCAAGAG